RNAcentral lists this ribosomal RNA (497 nucleotides) under uncultured bacterium. RNAcentral's name for it is "partial 16S ribosomal RNA". It matches the Rfam family "Bacterial small subunit ribosomal RNA", at positions 28 to 507 of the family's 1533-position model. The record is from RNAcentral.
GAUGAACGCUGGCGGCGUGCCUAAUACAUGCAAGUCGAGCGAACAGACGAGGAGCUUGCUCCUCUGACGUUAGCGGUGGACGGGUGAGUAACACGUGGAUAACCUACCUAUAAGACUGGGAUAACUUCGGGAAACCGGAGCUAAUACCGGAUAAUAUAUUGAACCGCAUGGUUCAAUAGUGAAAGACGGUUUUGCUGUCACUUAUAGAUGGAUCCGCGCCGCAUUAGCUAGUUGGUAAGGUAACGGCUUACCAAGGCGACGAUGCGUAGCCGACCUGAGAGGGUGAUCGGCCACACUGGAACUGAGACACGGUCCAGACUCCUACGGGAGGCAGCAGUAGGGAAUCUUCCGCAAUGGGCGAAAGCUUGACGGAGCAACGCCGCGUGAGUGAUGAAGGUCUUCGGAUCGUAAAACUCUGUUAUUAGGGAAGAACAAAUGUGUAAGUAACUAUGCACGUCUUGACGGUACCUAAUCAGAAAGCCACGGCUAACUACGUG